Molecule: ribosomal RNA, 1429 nt
Filed under: bacterium R70
Lineage: Bacteria
Description: bacterial SSU rRNA
Rfam family: Bacterial small subunit ribosomal RNA
Source: RNAcentral
AGGUUGCGGCUGCUUACCAUGCAGUCGAACGGUGAAGCAGAGCUUGCUCUGUGGAUCAGUGGCGAACGGGUGAGUAACACGUGAGCAAUCUGCCCCUGACUCUGGGAUAAGCGCUGGAAACGGCGUCUAAUACCGGAUACGAGCUGCGACCGCAUGGUCAGUAGCUGGAAAGAAUUUCGGUCAGGGAUGAGCUCGCGGCCUAUCAGCUUGUUGGUGAGGUAAUGGCUCACCAAGGCGUCGACGGGUAGCCGGCCUGAGAGGGUGACCGGCCACACUGGGACUGAGACACGGCCCAGACUCCUACGGGAGGCAGCAGUGGGGAAUAUUGCACAAUGGGCGCAAGCCUGAUGCAGCAACGCCGCGUGAGGGAUGACGGCCUUCGGGUUGUAAACCUCUUUUAGCAGGGAAGAAGCGAAAGUGACGGUACCUGCAGAAAAAGCGCCGGGCUAACUACGUGCCAGCAGCCGCGGUAAUACGUAGGGCGCAAGCGUUAUCCGGAAUUAUUGGGCGUAAAGAGCUCGUAGGCGGUCUGUCGCGUCUGCUGUGAAAACCCGAGGCUCAACCUCGGGCCUGCAGUGGGUACGGGCAGACUAGAGUGCGGUAGGGGAGAUUGGAAUUCCUGGUGUAGCGGUGGAAUGCGCAGAUAUCAGGAGGAACACCGAUGGCGAAGGCAGAUCUCUGGGCCGUAACUGACGCUGAGGAGCGAAAGGGUGGGGAGCAAACAGGCUUAGAUACCCUGGUAGUCCACCCCGUAAACGUUGGGAACUAGUUGUGGGGUCCAUUCCACGGAUUCCGUGACGCAGCUAACGCAUUAAGUUCCCCGCCUGGGGGAGUACGGCCGCAAGGCUAAAACUCAAAGGAAUUGACGGGGACCCGCACAAGCGGCGGAGCAUGCGGAUUAAUUCGAUGCAACGCGAAGAACCUUACCAAGGCUUGACAUAUAGAGGAAACGUCUGGAAACAGUCGCCCCGCAAGGUCUCUAUACAGGUGGUGCAUGGUUGUCGUCAGCUCGUGUCGUGAGAUGUUGGGUUAAGUCCCGCAACGAGCGCAACCCUCGUUCUAUGUUGCCAGCACGUAAUGGUGGGAACUCAUGGGAUACUGCCGGGGUCAACUCGGAGGAAGGUGGGGAUGACGUCAAAUCAUCAUGCCCCUUAUGUCUUGGGGCUUCACGCAUGCUACAAUGGCCGGUACAAAGGGCUGCAAUACCGUGAGGUGGAGCGAAUCCCAAAAAGCCGGUCCCAGUUCGGAUUGAGGUCUGCAACUCGACCUCAUGAAGUCGGAGUCGCUAGUAAUCGCAGAUCAGCAACGCUGCGGUGAAUACGUUCCCGGGUCUUGUACACACCGCCCGUCAAGUCAUGAAAGUCGGUAACACCUGAAGCCGGUGGCCCAACCCUUGUGGAGGGAGCCGUCGAAGGUGGAUCCGUAUUGG